GGGAGCGAGAGUGGGGCGGGGACCCUCGCGAGCCCGCACUCUGCCUCUGGGUAGCAGCCUCUUCGGCCCCACACGGAGUGACGCGCGCUCGGGCUCCGCGUUCGCGUCGAGGCAGAGGCCUAGUAGGGGUCGGGCCCGGGGCUGGAGGGGCUGGGACCGGGCGGGGUGCUGCCCUGGACACCGCGCCGGCAGCUGUUCCGCGCGGAGUUUCUCUCCUGUCACAAUGGCAUGAUCUCGGCUCACUGCGACCUCUGCUUCCUGGGUUCAAGGAUUCUCCUGCCUCAGCCUCCCAAGUAGCUGGGAUUACAGGAAUCUCACCAGUGACACGCGUUUGUGAAAAGCUGUGAAUAUUCAGUGCCACAGGGUUAAACCUCGGUACAGAAGCGAGACCCUGCUGGGCAGAGAAAGGGUGACCUGGAAGGUGUGUGAGGGCCCCGCCCACGGGCCCCUGUGAUGGUCAUGGCCUCAAGAAUCACAGUCCAGUUUCCAUCAUUAUCUUCUAUGGAGUUCUUCAUUCCCACAUCUGCGGCCCUUAAAAUCCUACGGUUGAGUGCCUGCCUUGGAUCAGCAGUCAGUUCGUUACCUUGGUUCUCAGACGAUGCUUGCAACAACGCCAUGCGAUUCGCCCACUCUUGGGUAGAUGGAGACAUUGGGGCUCAGGUGUGGGCAGUUUUAAGAAGAAUGCAUUGAUUCUACAACAUGCUAUUGUGAAGCCAUCCAGGACUGUUCACUCACUUAUUUAAGAAAGAGAAAAUAAGAGAAGUAUCCCUGAAGGAUGAAAUAUCCUCAAAUAUGAAAAUGUCUGCUCUCUGAAGACCAACUGUCUUAGUCUGCUUUUUGCUGCUGUAACAGAAUACCACAGACUUGGUUACAUUAGUUAUAAUAUACACUCUGGAGGUGACUUGACCUGUCAUUGUGAACAACUAUUGCUCUUGGACGACCCAGGACAUAGGCCAGCCAGUACGUACCCCAGUGUGUUGGAGAAUCGCGCUUGGCUUCUUCCUCUGUGCUGAGUCAUGAAAGUUGCCAGAGCAGGUGCAGUUACACAACCUCCAGGCAACAUCACAUGAUCGUUCAAAAAAUAAUCAUCAAGUCCAGGAUGCAGCAUCUGUCGCAGUUCUGGGCAUAGGAUGACGGUCUGAAAUACACUUACUAAAUUUGAAUAAGAACGGGCUCAGGUCAGUGAUUAUCGCUAGUGCCUUAUCAACACCCUGUGGCUUUUCAGCAUUAGUCCCCAUAUCCUCGUCCGGUGUGGCACUGAGAGCAGUGGAUUAAGUUUGAAGGGCCUGUGGAUCAUUCAGCUGGGGAAGUCCAGGUAAAGAAGACGAUAUAGGGGAGCUCAGAGCAGGGCCUGGGCCUCCAGCCUCUUCUGGACAACAGCCAUGUAGAGCCAGUGAGCUGAGGGCUGUGAGGAGCAGGGUGGAAGGUAGGGAGGGGUUACAUGAAGUUGCAUAAGGGUUAUUUUCUUUGUAGAAUUUUUUUAAGAUAGGAAAACAUGACAAUGUUUAUAAAUUGGAAGAAAAGUACAAGUUGUGAAAGGGAGAGGUUGAAUCCAGAGAGGGGAGGAAUAAACUUGGAGAAGAGAGACAGUGCUCAGGUGAAAUGGGAGGUGAGUGGAGAAAGCUGUGUAGAUGGAGAUGAGUUUGUGGGGAGGGGCAGGAGGUGAGAAAGCCUCUUUCUUUCUUUGCAAAGCAGGACACUUCUUCAGAUCUCAUUUUCAAUUUUGCUUCUUUUAGAUUAUUAUUCCUAUUUUCAAAGCAAGCUGAAACUUCACUCAUGAGAUUGUUCUUUUCCCAGGAGUCAUUGGAAGGUGAAUGUUUACAGCUAAUGUCAAAGAUCUCUUGAGCCUUGAUAGCUAGUCUGUAUUUGGCAAGACUUCAAUGUUAGAAGAUUUAAGAUACUUUUAGUCUGAGUAACAAUCACAAUUAACUCAUUUAGCCUGGCUUAGGCUGAUUUGGAGGAGAUGGAAGUAAAGGCUCAGUUCAAGACUCACCUUCUUCAUCGAAACUUCUCCAAUUCACCCCAUUCUUCACUGGGCUACCUCUUCAUAUGACUGUUAUCAUCCCUCUAUAAUCUGAUAGGUCAGUCAGCUGGGUAACAAUCAACCUUAAAAUUUUAAUGUCUUGUGACCACAAAUUUAGUUUUUUUUCUGCUCCUGAGUUUGUGGGUCAGCUGAGGUUUGAGGAUCUUCACUCAGCUCAUCUGGUCUUAGAUCCAGGUUCAGGUAUGGCCCAGGCAUGCUCUAUCUGUCUUAUUCUGAGGCUCAAGCUGAAUGGGUUACAGAUACCCAGGAGUAACUGAUGAUGACAAAGCAGGAGAAGGCAAGGGCAGCCCCACAAACAUUUCAAAACCUGCUUGUGUCAAAUCCACUAUCAUUCCUUUGGCCAAAACAAGUCACAUGGUCAAGGAAGUAUACUCUGUCCAACCAUAGGGAGUCACAAACUGGGUAUAACAAUUCAGUCUGCAACCCCUGGCUUGUCAGUAAUCUCACCUGAGAACCUGUCAGUUACCUGCUCCAUAUACGCACAUGAGAAAAAAUUGUAGCUUAUCCUUCUCCUGAUUCCACUGUAUUUAGAGUAGAAACAUCUUGGGACAGGGCUUGGAUUCAAAGAUUGGCCCCAUCACCAGGAUACAUCAUUUGUUCUUUGGCAGCUCUCUUUCCUCUUCUGCCAAAUGGGAAAUAAGAAUUCUGUGAACAGAUACGAUAGGAUACACAUAUAAAGACAUUGGUCAGAUAUGAUAUGUAUGGAGAUGAGAAGAGAGUUGUUUAACAAUAUUUUAAAACUUAGGGUUUAUUCGUGACCAUAUCCAAUUUCAAACUAAGCCAUGCAUUUAAUCUUGAUUUGCUAAGAAAAUUUGCAAACUAAGCCGGUAUUGAUUUUUGUGGUUAGGGAUACUAGAAAACCAGUAACUGUGUUCUCAUCGUAACAAAGCUUAGCAUAUUCACCCCAAAGCAAAAAAAAAAGUUCCAGAGGUGGGGUCAGUGGCUUUGCAUAAGCAUGGACUGGGCAGAGUGUGUCUUCCUCCACCAAAUGGCACAUGGUUGACCUCUUCACUUAAAGGAGACAUACUCAACAAUGUGUGUCACACUGUGGACUCUGCCCAGUGUAUACGGUACACGUGCAUUCAAGAGAAACAAGGUUUAACCAAAUGCAUUCAACAGCAGAUACUUGAAGCUUACUUGAAAAAGCCUCAGACUGCUCACGACAGGUGCUGGCUGUUGAAUGUUGAGACAGAAUUUUCAAAACCAGAUGCAAACGAAUCCAGUCAUCUGACACUUGGUGUGGCUUGAAAAACAAUAUACUGAUCUGGUCUUAAUUUUGAUCAUUUGUUUCAAAUGUGCUGUUUUUAUUUUCUCAUUCACCUAAACAUUUCCACUUCCUUCUGCUGACAUUAAGGGACAGAGAAAGGUAUCUGUUGGUUGUUAGGCUCAGAAUUCCAUUCAUCUAAAAGCCAGCUAAGCCCUAGCUAGAUGCAGACAUGGAGGAAAGUUGACCCAUGCAAAACUUCUCUUGGGAGUCCCAUUUAAUACUCAUCAGUCUUCUUGUUGCCUGCUUCUAAUUCUGCAGGUCCUCCUUGGUUUCUCUUUAAGCCAGCACUUAUUUCCAUGGUGGGUUGGAGUGAGGAACAGUGUUGCAAAGGCAAUUAAAAUGUUGACAAAUUGGGGCCACAUUUUGUUUAUAAAUAAAAUAAAUUUCUGUGAAUAGCAUCCAAAGUUUCUCAGUUACUAAAGAACUCAGAUAUUGGGAGGCUGCUAAAUUAGGGUAAGUGCUAAAAAAUCUGGCUGAUUCGAUUUGUGACUUGAGGGGAAAAGAGAUAUGCAGUUAGAGAUAUUUUCAGAUUUGGUAUUGAGGUUAUCACUGUCAGAGAAAAGGAAGCUGAAAUUAAUUACUAAAGUUAAAAGCUGGAGUGUGAAGGACUUAAAAGCCAAAAUUUACUGACAGACUUCUUUUCAUUUUUAAAUCUCAAACAUUAAUAAGAGCAAUUAAUAAAAUUAUCAAAUUGUUCUAUUAUAGUUCUUGGUAUUAGAGGCUGUAAACCAUCUGGAUCCUCAGGGUAUCAAAAAAGUAAAGACAUUCAUGAAUUACCAACUGGGAAUUUGGAUCAGGUCUCGCAUAAUGAAGCUCAUGCACAGUAGCUGCUGCUCACUCUAAGUCCUCUAGGGCAUUUUCAGUAAUUCAGCAGAAAGCCACACUGACAUCAUAGAAAUUCAUUACAGUUAGCAAAAACAGUUUUAGAAAAAAAUGAUGAAUAAUCAAGUAUAAUCUACUUUAGCAGUUUAACAAAAAUUCUGCUCACUGAUUUAGACUAAAGAUUUUGAAAUUUCAGAGUUGGUCUAAGGUAUUAAAAUGUUCUUAGGUAGCUUGUGAGUGAGACCAUUUGCUUUUGGUACUACUCUCAGUGUUUUUCUUUCUGUAACAGUGCCAAGGGUUAAGUGUCUCCAUCUCUUUCAUGAGCAUAAAAUAUGUACAAUAAUUUUGCUUUGUUUUUUUAUUGGAAUUUAAAGCAGUAUUGCAAGAUCAGAUACUGUGAGCAUAUUCUCAUAUCUCUUCAAUACAAAAAAGGGGCAAAGCAUAAUUUAUUCCAGAGGAGAUCUGGAUGCAUUUAAGCUUGCAACUAUUACUCCACAUAAGUUAUCUCUCUAUGUGUUUAAAUAUGAUUAUGUAUGUCAGUUGAGAACUUUUAGGCCGGGUGUGGUGGUUCAUGCCUAUAAUCCUAGCCAGGCGUGGUGGGAGGGGCCUGUAAUCCCAGCUACUUGGGAGGCUGAGGCAGGAGAAUCCUUGAACCUGGGAGGUGGAGGUUGCAGUGAGCUGAGACUGUGCCACUGCACUCCAGCCUGGGCAACAAGAGCAAAACUCCAUCUCAAAAAAAAAAAAAUCCUUUCAGGUUUUGGUCCUAGAUAGAGUAGCUGACAAAGAUAAAAGAUCUCAAGAGUUCAACCAGUUCCAUCACCCUUUGGCCACUGAGAGGUUUAAUUCUAUAUAUUUUUGGUGCCUACUGAAUAUUUCCAUCAGAUAUAAGACAUCACAGCCUUGGAAAGGAAGUUAGAAACCAUCCAUCAUGUAGAUCAGCAUUUGGAAAAGUCUGUUCCAUAGAACAGCUCUUUCUUGAAUGAAAUAAAUAGCUCUCCAUUGAAAUUCCAUGAAGGUCAUAUUCAUAUUGAAAGCUCUGAGAUGUUCUAUACUGGUAAAGUCUCCUUCACUUUGUUUUAACAAGGGUUUCUCAAAUGUGUUUAACCACAGAGCACUUUUUUUCCUUGUGAUGUUUGCCACACUCCUUAGGAGUAACCUCCCAUGUUACACACUGAGGGCAAGGUUGUACUAGACUGUGAGCUCUUUAAGGUCUAGGAGCAGCUCUUUGCUGGAUCUUGGAUUCCUGGUGCCUCCCACAGUGCUGGCAAGUGGUAGGCACCUAAUCAGUGUUUGCUGAGUGGAUCUAGUUCAACACCUUCAGGUCGUGAGUGAAGAGCCUGAAGGUCCACACAGUUAGGUAGCUGGCCAAGGUCACACAGGUCAUAAGGGAAAGAAUGACAAGAAGCCACUUAGAUACCGAGGCAGAGAAUAGCCUGCUGAGGCCAAUAGACAGAGUCCAGCUUUGUCACCAAAAUGGAGAAUGUGUAAGAUGAGGCACAGAAGAGUGGUGGGGCCAGAGAAAACACAGCAGAAUGUGGCUGACAGGAUCUUAGGAAGACGAAGUUAUGAGGUGCUGAGCAGAGACAAGCAGGAAGUAGCCAUGCAAUUAUUUUACUAUCUGUUAUCGGUUAUUUGUUUAAGUGUACCUGGAUUCAACAGAGUAGUCAAAUCCAUCCCUUUCAUCACUAAACACUGAGAUUCCCACUGACUUCUACCUACCAUAACCAAUUUUCCUGGAAUUUAUCAAAUAUUCUUGAAAAUCUACUGCAGUCAACAUAAAUUUGUAGAAAAAAUAUGUUAUUUUUUAAUAUACAAAAACUUCGUAUCUUAAAAUGUAUUUAAAAACUCCAAAUAUUUAUAAACUCCUGUUCUGGGGUCAUUUGUUUUCUGUAAUAAAAAAACCGUGAAAAGAACACUGUGUAAGAGUGAAUAAGCCCAGGUUCAAGUCCUGCUGCUAUUAAUUGGGGUGUUGGAUAGAACACAGCUCUCCAUGUAUCAGUUUGCUCAUUUGUGAAAAAAAAAAAAAAAAAACAUUCACAGCAGAUGAUUUCUAAGGUUCCACCCAACCUUAAAAUGUUAAGUUUCCAGGAAAAUUUUGUGUAAUAACAUUUCUUUACUGGAAAACAAAAAUUUUGGCUUGCUCUUUUGACUGGGGAUUUGGUUUAGCAAGAAUAUUAUUGCUCAUCCUUUGAGAAUGUGAAGCUGUCAGGUAAACAUCAGGAAAAAUUUUAAAACAGAAAAUUAAUCAGGGAAAGAAAAUACUUGUCAGGUGUUUUAGAAUCAGAGAAACCCUAGUUUACAUAAUAAAGCAUCACAUAAACUGGCAGCAAGACUGUCCCACAAUCCACAGAGGAGAGAGCUUUAAGGAUAUAGCCAUGAAAAUUGCAAGCAAAAUAAGAAAUGAAACUUAGUUUUCCUGAUGAUAUUCUUUCCAGUAUCUCUAAGACAGUUCCUUAACUUCCAAUUAUGUUUAUUAAUAGUUACUGAGACUUUAAACUAUCUGGCCUAAAGUUCUUUGGUGACUUCCAUUGAUGUUACUGGAUGGCCCAAACUUUUCAAGCCAAUGGUUCAUGGCCAUCAUGAGCUUACCACUGUCUAUCCUCCAUCCUGGCAUUGACUCCCGUCUUCUCAGGCUGGUCAAGUGCAUUUCACUUCUACCCACUCAUUCCUUAAGUUUCCCUCUGUCUCUGUGCCCUCAUACUUGUGACAGAAUGCUUUCUCUUUCCUUAAGAAAAACAGCUAAGUGGGGAAAAGGCGGGACCAACAGCCCCCUGAGCACACUCUUUAAAACAGGUCAAGUGUUGAUUGGUAAGACUAUGACAAAAAGGUGUUGAAGAAGCUGUGGGAAGACAAGAUCACUUCUCUAAAGUGGUGGCCACAUUGUAGGGGCUUUAAUGCUCCACACUGUAGGAGUAUUUUAGGUGCUCCUCCCUGUGUCCCCAGUGAUGACAGAAUCUGGUGGUGCCUCCACACUUCACCCUCUCCUGGGGCAGGAUAUAUGAUUGGGCAUCUUCAAGGGGAUUUGACCUUCAUAUCAUUGGGGAAGGGCCUGGUCUCAACAGAGCUUAAUCAAUAAGCAACCAUAUUCUUUCUCAAUAUGCUAUAGUAUGCUAUAGGUCCAACAUUAUAUACACAUUAUUGUAUAUGGUUACUUUUUAUUUAUUUUUUAUUUUUUGAGACAGAGUCUUGCUCUGUCACCCAGGCUGGAGUGCAGUGGUGUGAUCUCAGCUCACUGCAAGCUCUGCCUCCUGGGUUGAAGCAAUUCUCCUGCCUCAGCCUCCUGAGUAGCUAGGACUACAGGCACCCACCACCACGCCCAGCUAAUUUUCUGUAUUUUUAGUAGAGAUGGGGUUUCGCUGUAUUAGCCAGGAUGGUCUCGAUCUCCUGACCUCGUGAUCCACCUGUCUUAGCCUCCCAAAGUGCUGGGAUUACAGGCAUGAGCCACCGUGCCCAGCCUGUGUAUGGUUACUUUUUAAAUAAUUUAUGAGAAUACAGGAGAAAAAGUAUGCAUUUAUGUAUUUUUUAAAAUAAUUACAUAACUAUCUUUACUGGUUGUGUGUGUGUGUGUGUGUGUGUGUGUGUGUGUGUGUUCAAAUUACUAUACGGAAUCACUUGAUUUCAGCCUGUAGAACUUCCUUUAGUAUUUCUUAUAAGGUGGGUCUGCAAGUAAUAAAUUAUCUGUUUUUGUUUAUCUGGGAAAACCUUUAUUUUUACUUCAGUUUUGAAUAAUACCUUUGCUGGAUAUAGGAUCCUUAGUUGACAGAUUUUUUACUUUGAAAAUUUUGAAUAUGCUAUCCCAUUGUCUUCUGGCCUCCAUCUUUUGUGAUGUGAAGUCAGCUGUCAAUCUUACUAGGAUUCCAUUAUAAGUAAUGAGUCAUUUUUCUUUGCUGUUUUCAUAAUUUUCUCCUUAUCUUUGGCUUUCAGCAUUUUUACUAUGAUGCAUUUGUUUGUGGAUCUCUUUGAGUUUACCUUACUAGGAGUUUAUUGAGCUUUUGGAAUCUGUUGGUUAUUGUUUUUCAAUAAAUUUGAUAUUUUUUUCCACCCUUAUUUCUUCAUAUAUUUUCUUUGGUCCCUUCGGUCUCUCCUCUCUUUCUAGUAAUCCUAAUAAGCAUAUAUGUGUACCUGAUGGUGUUCCACAUUUCAGUGAGGCUCUGUUCAUUUUUUUCUUCAUUCUUUUCUCCUAUUUUUCAGCUUGCAUAACAUCUAUUAAUCUUUUUUUCAAAUUUGCUUCUUCUUUUUUUUCUGCUAGUUCAAACCUGUUGAGUCCCUACAAUAAGGUUUUCAUUUCAGUUGUUGAAUUUCUCAAGAAUUUCCAUUUAGUUAUUUUUUAUAAUUACUCUCUUUAUUGAUAUUCUCAAUUUGAUGCAAUAUUAUUAUCAUACCUUCAUUUACUUCUUUUUUUUUGAGACAGGGUCUUGCUCUGUCAUCCAGGCUGGAGCACAAUGGCAUGAUCAUAGCUCACUGCAACCUCCACCUCUUGGGUUCAAGCAAUUCUCAUGCUUGAGCCUUCUGAGUAGCUGGGACUACAGACAGGUACCACACUGGGCUUUUUUUGUAUUUUUAGGAUAAAUGGGGUUUCUCCAUAUUGACCAGGCUGGUCUCAAAUUCAUGGCCUCAAAAGAUCCACCUGCUUUGGCAUCCCAAAGUGCUUGGAUUACAGGCGUGAGCCACCACACCGAGCCCAUUUACUUCUUUAAUCAAACUUUAUGUCUAACUUAGAGUCUUUUUUUCUGUUAAAUCAUACAACUGGUCACUCUCAAUGACAGUUUCUGCUCACUCCUGCUCACCCCCUGCCCAGUAUAUGGGACAUACUUUCCUGUUACAUGGCACACUUUAUAAUUAUUGUUGUAACUGGACAUUUUAGAUAAUAUACUGUAGCAACUCUGUGUACUGACAAUCCCCCUUGGAGCUUGUUACUAUUAUUUAAUUAUUUGUUUAGUAAUUGGCUGAAUUAUUUUAGUAAAGUCUAUUCACUCCUGUAAGGUACAUGGAUGUGCUUUGGUCAAGGAACAGGCUGAGGUGAAUAUCCAGGCAUGCAUGACUCAGUGAGUUUGGAACACAGGCGCACACCUCCACUUAUUAUACAACUGCUUGUGUAAGUUCAUUCUUGGCUCGAGCCACUAUUGUCUGAUAAAGGUAUAAUUGCCCUGCUGACACUGUGUAUAGAGCUCAACAUGGCUCAUGUGCAAACACUCACACCCAAAGAGAAGGAGAGAGCCAAAGCUGUCCAUCUUGCAGAUGGACAGGAGGGAGCAAGGACACAGCUCAGCUUGCUCAUGCCCAGAGAGAGAAAGAGUUCAGCUGCUGACCUUGAAGGCAGCAGGUUGGUAGGUUGGUUGGUUGGUUGGUUGGUCGGUUUGUUGGUAGGUUGGUUGAUUGGUAGGUUGGUAGGCUAGUAAUUACUGCUAUUACUAUUACAUCUGUCAUUUUUUUUCUUUCCCUUGGCACACUUAUUUUUAAAUGAUGCAGACUUUGUGUCCUCCUGCAGCAGUAGACUUCCCGUCUCCUUUAAAACUUUUUCAAAGGGAAAAGGGGGAAGAUGGGCUUGUGGCUCCACAGAGAAGUCAGCUGUAGAUGCUGCCUAAUGCCAAACGCCAGCUCCCUUAGACUCAGUCACUGCGGACACCCCUGCAGCACUUGGCAAUGACUAUUCCCUCUUUCAGAGUUGCCUCUUUUGGGAUCCAGGACCCUGCACUCUCCUGUUUUUCCUUCUACUUUCUGGCAAUUCUUCUCUUUAAGCAUCCUUUGUGGGCUCCUCUUUUUUUCUGUCUGGUCCUCUUCAAUUUCCCUCCUGCCAAGACUUGGUGGUCCACAGGGUCCUGCCCUCUGCUGUCUUCUCUUCUCUGCACAGUUCAUCAGCCUCUAAGAGCCCCACAGUGCAGGUAAGCACUGAGGAUAACAUAAGUCACACAGGUGUGUAUGCUUUGUAAGGUAUACAGGGGAGUCACAUCAUGCAUGCAUUUGACUGUUUAUGCACAGCAAAGCAAAAUCUAAACAAUGUGUAUGUGCCCAGAAAGAACAAGAUGAGAGGUGACAAUCUGUCAUGUGCCAGGUUAUCUCAGGAUGCAUCAGGCCCCCAGGAGGCACCAUUUUUGACUGAAUAUAGUUGAGAUAAGGGUGUGCCACACAGCCUACCCAAGCCAAACUACUGCUCAACUCAUGAAGCAGCAAGCUCCUUAGAUGUGAGGGGGAAAGUUGCCUGCAUUGGCAUGAUUCAGAGAAAUCUACCUCUGUGUCAUCAGAACUUACAGGUGAUAUAAGGAACCCCACAGCCUGUAAUUUUGGCUCUUUGAGAUGACUUGAGACCUUAACCCAGAAUAAGAUGAAACACCUCCCACCUAGUCCCAUAGAUGAUCAGAAAUUGUGAUAGUACAGGAAAGAUGAAAACAGCAAAUCUGAAGUUUUGACUAAAAGAGUAUGGGGAAAGGAUCUUACUCAGAAUCGAGGUUUCUUUUAAAAGAUAGUUGUGAGUUGAUUAUUAUCCUGAGCUACUUAUUCAGAUCACUCUUAUUUCCAGCCCGCAGGUGGAAAUUCCUGUGGGUCCCAACAUCCUACCCACAACCAAGAGCAACUGUGUUAUUUCUGUGAGGUCCAGACAUAAAUGUACCUCUUCUCUCUGCAUUUUUUCUUACCUUUGUGUUUAUAUUUUUAAGUUUGGAAAUGCUCUAUUACCUCAGGAUGCACUAGGCCAAAUUAACAGAACAUGCAAGGCUGACAAAAAAAAACAAACAAGGCAAUCAACGAAUGCUAAGUGAACCACAAAGAUGGCUUUUCUCCUUAGGGGCAUGUUGGCUUGAAAGAAAGUUGUACCAUAUUCUGGAAACAGGAAUAAAAUAACUCUUCAAAACUCCCAGACUAGAACUCAGGUGCUGAGAAAGAGGUUUAUGCUUAGGGGAGAAAAAAGAAACUAAGCUCCAGAUAUUUAUGCUAAGUAAGAUUAGGGCAAUAUGGUUUCACAAAAAUACACUGAUGGGAAUAGAGUAUGUCUAGUACAUUGGUAGUCUUCUGCUGUAUGAGAUGACUCCUCAAAUCACUUUCUGUACCAGCCUUCAAAAAGAUAGGCCAGAAUCCCAGAGGUUCAAAAGUUAGUCUGUUUGAAAAGAUAAAGGGGAAGUCAAAAGGUCUGAGAACCAAGAAAGCUGAUGGUGUAACUCACAGUUUGAGGCCAAAGGUCUGAGAUAUUGGAGGCCACUGAUGUAAGUCCUAGAGACUGAAAGGCCUAAGAACCUGGAGUCCUGAUGUCCAAGGGCAGAAAAUGGUGCCCAGCUCAAGGAGAGAUAACAAAUUUGCCUUUCCUAUGCCUUUUGGUUCUAUCUGGGUCUUGAUGAAUGGGAUGGAGCCAUUCACAUUGUGGGAGGGUGGAUCUUUACUCAGUCACUGAUUCAAAUGCCAGUCUCUGCCAGAAACAUGCUCACAGACGCACCCAGAAAUAACACCUCACCAGCUAUCUGGACAUCCCUUAACCCAACCAAGUUGACACCUGAAAUUAACUAUCACAUAUAGUUCCACAGGUGAGAAGGGGUGAGAAAAUUAAAAGCCAAUGUUGUCUUCUUGAUUCAAAGAAAUAACAGGCAAAUCAUAGAAACGAAAGACUGUGGCUAAAAUAGAGUUAUAGCUUAGUGUUUUUACAAGAUUUGAAUUUAAAUACUUUUGGGGUGUGAACCCCAAAAAUUUGAGAUAGGUCUCAGUUAAUUUAGAAAGUUUAUUUUGCCAAGGUUGAGGAUAAGCGUCAACUGACACGUACUGACAACAUGUGCCCAAGGUGGUCAGAGCACUGUUUGGUUUUAUACAUUUUAGGGAGAUACGAGACAUCAAUCAACAUAUGUAAGAUGAACAUUGGUUCAGUUUGGAAAGGUAGGACAACUCAAAGCAGAGUUGGGAGAACUCAAAGCAGGGAAGGGACUCCCAGGUCAUAGGUAGAUAAGAGACAAAUAGUUGCAUUCACUUGAGUUUCUGAUUAGCCUCUCCAAAAGAGGCAAUCAGAUAUAUAUUUAUCUCAGUAAGCAGAGGGUGACUUUGAAUAGAAUGGGAGGCAUGUUUGUCCUAAGCAGUUCCCAGCUUGACUUUUCCCUUUAGCUUAGUGAUUUUGGGGCCCCAAUAUUUAUUUUCCUUUCACAGAUGGUAAAAAAACUAAUGAAAAUUAAAUAACUCCUUCACUCCAAAUUAUCUUCUGUUCAUUGUUGAACAAUGAGUGCACAGAUACAAUUACUAAUAAUAUUGUUUUCUUAAUUUUUUGCUUAACAUUAUCUCAUACGGCAUUUACACGAUUAUAUGAUUGACUAUUUAAUCUUUUUUUUUUUUUUUUUUUUUGAGACAGAGUCUCGCUCUGUCACCCAGGCUGCAGUGCAUUGUUGCAAUGUCGGCUCACAGUAACCUUCACCUCCUGGGUUCCAGAGAUUCUCCUGCCUCAGCCUCUGAGUAGCUGGGAUUACAAGUGCCUGCCACCACACCCAGAAAAUUUUUCUAUUUUUAGUAGAGACAGGGUUUCGCCAUGUUGGCCAGGCUGGUCUCGACCUCCUGACCUCAAGUGAUCUGCCCACCUCAGCCUCCCAAAAUGUUGGAAUUAUAGGUAUGAGCCACCGCGCCCAACCAGCAUUACUUUAAUAUUGGACAUUGCAGUUUUAAUUUUUUCUUUAAUAAGUUAUACAUAACUUUCUUUUGGGAUUUUCCUUUAAUUUUUUUUGUACGUGCCAUACAGUUCAAAUGACAUAAACAGUUUUCCUUUAUAUAGUGCUAGACUUCCUCUCAGAAACAUUAAUGUUACUGAGAAUGUACAAACAUGCCUCCAUGUUUACAAACAUGUUAUUUUAUCACUCUUACUUACAUGUGCUAGUUUAGGGAAUAAUUGUUCAUAAUUUCUAGUUAUUCUCUUUUCUAUUUCUUUAUUCCUCCCUGGGAAGGCUGUGAGUCCGAGGUACUAGUUGGGAGUGCAUCAUUUUCUCCUCUUCACAGAAAAGCCAUUCUCCUGCAACUGGGGAGGCCAUUGACCUGGAAGGAGUCCAUGGCUUCAAGAAUGAGUAUGAGCCCAUUUCAGCCCCCAUCCCAAAGUCUCCAUGCCCUUGUGAGUCUCACUGGUGCUGCUCCUCCGUCUGGUGCUAUUCCUGGACCAAACUGAGGAUCGGACGGCUAUUUCUGGUUGCCCAAUAAUAAGAUGCAGAUGAACUGCGGAGGAAGUGAGUUUUUAUUUCUGUAACCAGUUACAUGGAGAAGGCCUGGAAAAUAUCUCCAGACCAACUCAAAAUUACAAAGUCUUCCAGAGCUUAUAUAUAUUCUAAGCUAUAUGGCUAUGUGUAAAUGUGCAUUCAUCUAAAGACAUAAGUGAUUAACUACUUUAAAUCUAUAACCAAGAUCCGAGUCUUGAAGACCUCCCCCUGGAGCCUCAGUAAAUUUACUUAAUCUAAGUGGAUCCAGGUGCUGCGGUGAUUACCCUUAUUUUGUCUCCUGCUAAAUUAUGGAGAUUUGGGGAGUUCCUUCACAGGACCUGAACACAGUUCUGUUUGUUUGAUGAUACUCACCACUAUCCUGGAGACGGACAACAGAAGCACCUGGACGGGCUCUGUUCAUUUGGUGAUGCUCACACCAUCCAGGAGACUGAGAGCAGCAGCACCUGGACAGACUGGCCAGGGCCUGAGAUCUUCCACAGCCUGGUUCCCAGCUUGUCACAACUUAUAGGAGGAAAACAGGCCCCUUACAGCAGCACACUUAUGACAGGGUAGACCUUUUACUUUCUGGAAUGUUUUGUAAAGUUUAUGGAAUAAUCAGAAAAUGUAGAUUUGCCUGUUUCCUGAAUUUUUUUUGUUCUGUGGCACUCAUAUUAUUUAAGGUGAAGAAAGCACAGAGUGGAGGCAAAGAUAGGACACAAAAGACAUAUUUGUCAGCAAUACCCAAUGCAGUCGUUUUCAGUUUAAAUUCUUAGAGUUUUUAGACAAACUAUUAUUGAGAAGCCCAAUGUAUAAGACUUAAGAAAAUAUAAAAGGGCUGGGACCCUAGAGUCCUGCUACCUCACUCCUCUGAGCCCUGAUGGUUUCUCAGGGAAGAGUUUGAAAACCACAAUCCUGUUGUUUUCCUUUUUAUCUUUCAUUUUAAAUAUAAUUGUUUAGAAUUAUGUUAACCCAUUUUAUUUUGGUUGUGAAAAGAUAAUGAACUAAUGACUAAUAGUUGACUAUCCAGUUCAACUAUUUCACAGAUAACUUUGCCAAAUUCACAGAGUUUGUCAGUGAUAAAACUGGACCUGGGACCCAGGUUCCCUGACGUGCAGCCACUGAAUAUCCCACAAUUCCUGAUGUCCAUUAGCUUUGACUGAAAAAAAAAACAUAUAAUUUAUUGGGAAAAAGACCAUAGUAAACUCCAGUUUUAGUCAUCUCUAUUUCAAAAUUUGUAAUUGUGUCUUCGCUGUAGUUAUAAAUUCAUCUUAGUGGUUUGUUGGUUGUAUUAUACUUUUGUUGAUAUGCUUUUCUGAUCUUCAUUAAGAUGAUGGCCAGUCAUAGAUUAUUGUUUACAGCCAACACCAUAAUUGUCUAUUUUAAUAAUGGUAAAUAAUGAAACCCAGUGCAAAUCUGUCAAAGCACAGGCCAUUUGACCCAGCCUUGCAACCCCCAUAGCUACAUUUUCAGUCACGUGGACUGACAGGUGGUUACACUUCACACUGAAUAUACACAAAUGCAUGACUGACACUUCCCAUUUGGGCCUCCCAGGGUGACUUGUUCUGGUUUUCACCUUCCCCACUUGAUCUUAUGUAGUAAGGAGGCAAGAAAUGCCCAAGCAACUCAAAUUCUGUUUUACCAGUUUGAACCAUAACUAUUGAGACAGACUGAAGUGUUUGAAGGAAUGACAUAGAAGGUCUAUGGAUUUUUGGGUGGUGCAUGUGAUGUCAUCAAAUUAGAUUCCUCCCUUGUGUGUCCAUAGACCUGUGCUUUAAAAGACCUUUCAAAUGGAGAAAAACAAAAACCAUGGGUGGAGAUGCUGAGAAACAGCUCUGCUCAAACAGGCUUCCAUCCCUGCUGCACAGCUCUCCCAGCCUCUUCCCUGCUCUGUUCUCAAGGUCUUGGCCCUCAGCUCAACAACUCAUUCUUGCAAGAGUCGGCUGAAUAAUUAGCAAUGCCAAACAGAGUGAGUCAUGGGAGGUAGCUGCUUCUCAGGAAUAUCUGUGUUCUGACAUAUACGUAUAUUUGUUUUUCUUUUUUUUUUUUUGAGAUGGAGUCUCACUCUGUCACCCAGGCUGGAGUGCAGUGGCAUGAUCUCAGCUCACUGCAACCUCUGCCUCCCAGGGUCAAGCGAUUCUCCAGCCUCAGCCUCCCAGGUAGAUGGGAUUACAGGUACCCACCACCACGCCUGGCUAAUUUUUGUAUUUUUAGUAGAGACAGGGUUUCCACCAUAUUGGUCAGGCUGGUCUCGAACUCCUGACCUCAUGUGAUCUGCCUGCCUUGGUCUGCCACAGUGCUGGGAUUACAGGCAUGAGCCACCAGGCCCAGCCAGAUAUGUUUUUAAAUAGUGGUAAUACAAAGCUUUUAAAUUCCAUUGUGCAAAUCUCUAACAUGAUGGCAGGUGUAGAAAUUGAUAUCUCAGUGCAGAGAGCCUGUGAAACAUAGUAGUGCUAGCCCAAGCUCACUGCAAGUGAAGGUGGGGAAGUCAUAACCCAGUACAGAAGAGUUAGACUAUGGGUAAUGAGGUUUCUGCAGAACCUCCAAGAUAAUGCAGAGAAAUUCAGUUAAGAGCAUUGGGGAUUUACCUGUAUACAGGUAUAUGCUGAGAGAGGUCCCAGUGAGGACAACUUCUCCACCAUGGUCUCACACUCCUGAAAGCAAACCCAUGAGGUAUGAUGAGGGAAAGUGGUUUGUUCAAAUAGGUCUUUGGUUUGUCAGUUUAAAACUGGUUACCACAGAGUUCAGUGUGGGUCCCCUGCUGGAACUUUAGUCUGUCUGUGGAUUUUAGGGACUGGCUGAAACUUCACAUUUAGAAAGUCAAUCCAGAUGAUACGGUUGAGUCACAGACCACAAGCAGUCAUGUCGGGCUGUUUCUAUGCUGACCCUGAUCAGCUCUCUGAGUGUGGCUAUUGUUCACGGCCCUGACCACUUGGUUUGUGUAAUUUCUUGCACCCUCUGGAUUAAAAAUUCUGAGAAUCCAUAAUUUCAUUAAACUCAGGUUUUAUCCUAUCCAAGAUUUGUUCCAAAUGACAGCAUGCUGGAGUCAUGCUAGGACAUGCUAGUCAAUGCUGGGGCUAGAGUGACUCACUGCUGCCUUGUGCUCCCCUCCUUCCUGUGUUGGGGGCUCCACUUUUACCCCUGUCCUGUUCCCACAUCCCAAACUCCCACCUGGCACCUAACUGUUCAAGGGAUCACAAUCAGGGCAUGUCUCCCACAUGGCUUCAGAUGCAAAAAAUUAACCCCCCCACCAAGUAAAAGCAUAUUGACCUCACAUUUCAUUUUCCAAGAGCUCAGUCUUUUGCUAAAUAAUUGGAGAUCAAGUUUCUGGCAAUUAACAAAUACAAAGGCAUUACUAAUGGAAACUCUUAAUAUAUGACCACCUCCUAAACUUUUUUACGUUUUGAAAGAAAAAUUCCUGGGACAAAUGUCUAAGCCCCAAAGAAAUAGCUCUCCUGAGUUGCAUAUUGAGGCACUCAGGCAGAACUGAUAGAGGCAUCAUUGUUAAUACAGUAACAACAGAUACAAAUCCCGGAGUACUAAUUACGUGUCAGGCCCUAUACUAAGUGCUUCUUAUGUAAUAUAUCAGGAAAUUAUCAUGAGAAGCUUAUGAGGCAGAUAUUAUUAUUCCUGUUUGUACAGAUAGAAAAAAAGAUGCCCAACAAUGUUAAGUAGACUGCAUAGGUCAUACAGCUAACAAAUGGCAGAAUUGGGCCAAACAUUUAACAUCCACAUGUUAGUGUCUUUUAGCAAGAGAUUUUCUACAGAGAAGUCAAAUUAGAUCACAGGUAUUUGCCUCUUGUGCUUAAACAGGCUCUUAUCAGGGCUAGCCUUUGGCUUUUUUCCAUGAGAACAUUUUACUGAGUUUAUUUUGUUUUCUUGAUCUACAAUGCCUAGGAACUCUAAGAACUGGGGAUGGAAAGAAAGUCCACUCCCUGAGAUGAUUUCUUGUCACCUUUUGGCUACGUCCUGGAUCUCAGAACCAGGCCUGCUUUUCCUGGCUAUACAUGGCAAAUCCAACUGGGAAAUUUAAAUUUUUGUUUUAUGUUUGAGAAACAGGACCUAAUAUGAAUGUUUGUUCUAGUUGUGUUGACUUAAUGCUGAUAGAGUUAAAUUUGAGCUCUCAGGAUCUAUUUUUGUACUCUUUGUCAAACGUGUUCCUUCUCCAUUGGUCUCCAUUGGCUUGCAGUAGUGGUGCUGCUCUGUGUCUAUUUCACACCUUACAGCUCCAUUUAUUAAUGCCUUCAGAAUCUUCUUUAUGUGCCUUCUAUUUUCUUUGUGUGAUGCGUGGGGCAGAGUCAGCUCUGGCUAAAAUGUCAGAACGAAGAAUCCUUAGUGCAGCUCAUGUAUCCAUGCUGAGUAAAUGCCAAGAGUGGCUGUGAACCUUCCCUUGACUCUCCUCCACAGCUGCCACUCAACCAAGACCCUGCAUUCUAAGGGUGGUCAGUCUGUUAGUCACAUGGAACUAAUGCACAAGAAGAUUGGAUGGAUUGAUGAGAAGCUAAACUUUCCCAAUAAUAUUUACAUUUUUAAAGAGGGAAUAUGUCACAAUAAAUGAGCUCCUGCCUGAUAAACAUCCUGCCUAAAACCCUUCCAACCUAUUGUUGCUUUGCUUCAAGAAGAAUACAAUGAUUGGUGGAGCUUGAGGCAAAGCGACAAAGCUUGAGGAAAGGUUUUAGGCAAGAUGUUUAUACUUCUCUUGUACUUCUCAAGUUAGUUAUUGUACUUUUCCACUCCAGAAUUUCUGUUUCUUAAUAAUUUCAAUCGCGUGAUAUUUUCUAUUUGGUAUGACAUUAUUCUCAUACUUUCCUUCAGUUCUUUAAGAAUUUUUUAAAAUUUCUUUGAGUAGAUUUGGAAUAUCUGGUUUAAAGUCUUUCAUGAGUAAGUUCAUCAUGUGAGCUUCCACAGGGACACUUUCCAUUGAUUGCUUUUUUCUCCUGCAUAUGGGCUGUACUUUCUUGUUUCUUUUUGUGUCUUGCAAUUUUUUCUUAAAAAUUGACAUUUUAAAUAUUAUAGUGUGAAAACCCCAGGAAUCAGAUUUUGCAACCUCCCCAGGGUUUGUUAUUGUUGCUGGGGCAUUUUUUGGUAGCUUUUAUUGUUUGUUUACUGACUUUAAAGAAAUAAUUCUGCCAAGUCUGUAUUCUCUUUCGUAUAUGAGCACUGAAGUCUCUACUUGGCUAGCUUAAAGGUCAGAUAAUGAAUGGAUAGUGAUUUCCUUAAGUGCUUGGAACCAAUAAGUCUGUCACUAUUUCCUGAGGGGGUCUGUAUGAGUGAUGGGGCACACUUCAAACAUUAGUAAGUAAUGAACAAUUCUGCCUUAGCCUUCCCUUGCUGUUUGCUCAACAUAUUAACGUCAGCCCAAGAUGAGAGUUGAGGCUUUCUCAUGUCUUUCUGAGUAUGCACUUGUUAAAAGAAAAACCUUAGACAAAUUUAAUUUAACAAAAUUUAAUUGAGCAAAGAAUGAUUCAUGAAUCAGGCAGCCUCCCAAACCACAGCAGGCUCAGAGAGACUCCAGCACAGCCAUGUGGCAGAAGAACAUUUAUGGGCAGAAAAUGGAAGGUGACAGACAGAAAACAGAAGUGAAGUUCAGCAACAGCCAGAUUGAUUACAGCUUAGAGUUUGCCUUAUUUGAACACAAUUUGAACAGUUGGCCCACUUUAAUUGGCCAAAACUUGGUGAUUGGCACAAGAAUAGGCUAGUCUGUUUAUAUAUCCAGUUAGGUUUCAGUUUACUGUGUAUAGAAACCUUAAGGGUGAACUUAAAAUAUAUAAGGAGGCAGCUUUAGGCUAAGCUUAAUUUAACAAAUUCCCCCUUUUGAUCAUCCCCUUGAUUUUGAGAGAUUGCCGAAAACAUUAGUAAUUGACGUCACUAUCAUCAAGUAAAUGUACUGAUUUGGUCUUGAAAUCCACUGAAUAAUAGCAGAACAGAGGGUUUUGUAAGGUAGGUAGAAGGACAUCAAGUUAUUUUUUUUGGUAAGGGUUAGAGCAGAGGGUACUUCCUUGUGCUUGACUCUCCUGUUUACAGGAGAGAAACAAAACCUGGUCGGUUAUAGGACCUAUCUCUUUCCUUAAAGUCUUAGUUAAAUUAUGCCAUAUGUAGUAUGAGUGACUCCAUUUUGGUUUGGUCUGGUCUGUUGGGGCCUAGUGUAUGAGCUCAGUUCAAAACAAUGGCCUCCCAUAAUUUUGUUUAAGAAUUACACCCUUUUUGUCAGGUUCUCACUUAGGUGAGAGUAUGACUGGUACGAUUUGGCUCUGUGUCCCCACCCAAAUCUCAUGUUGAAUUAUAAUUCCCAAUGUUGGGGGAAGGACCUGGUGGGAGGUGGGAUUGGAUCAUGGGGAUGGAUUUUCCUCUCAUUUUUCCUGUGAUAGUGAGUGAGUUCUCAUGAGACCUGAUGGUUUAAAAGUGUAUGUCACUUCCCCCUUUGCUCUCUCUCUCUCCUGUUGCCAUGUGAAGAUGUGUUUGCUUCCCCUUCACCUUGUGCCAUGAUUGUAAGUUUCCCGAGGUCUCCCCCACCAUGCCUUCUGAACAGCCUGCAGAACUGUGAGUCAACUAAACCUCUUGUAUUUAUUAUUUAUUUAUUUAUUUAUUUAUUUAUUUAUUUUUUGAGACAGAGUCUCGCUCUUUCAUCCAGGCUGGAGUGCAUUGGCAGGAUCUUGGCUCACUGCAACCUCCACCUCCCAGCUUCAAGCGAUUCUCCUGCCUCAGCAUCCCAAGUAGCUGGGACUAUAGGCAUGCGCCACCACACCCAACUAAUUUUUGUAUUUUUAGUAGAGAUGGGGUUUCACCAUGUUGACCAGGAUGGUCUCGAUCUCUUGACCUCAUGAUCUGCCUGCCUUGGCUUCUCAAAGUGCUGGGAUUACAGGCAUGAUCCACCGCACCUGGCCAAACCUCUUUUCUUUAUAAACUACCCAGUCUCAGGUAGUUUUUUUGUAGCAAUGUGAGAACAGACUAAUACAAUGACCAAAACCUGAGGCUUUAGUGCCACUCUCAGUUACCAUCAUUUUGGAUUUCUAGUCUGAACACAUCAUUCAUACGUUACAGUGCCCUCAUGGUCACACAUUUAUUUGAGCUCUUGUCAUUCCAGUGGAAGAGAUACCAUUUGACAUUCUUGAGAUGCCUGCAUGCAAGUAUUUAAAACUUUUGAGAGAAUACAGAGUACUAGGGAGACUACUAUUAUGACUAUCAGGAGGAUAAUACCAAGAGUUUGCAGUAUGCUCCUUAGCUAGGGUCCCCAUGAAUCAAACAAACUAAACAAGUUGAUCAAAAAGUGAGAUAGACAAAGAGCCACUCACUUUAACCAAGCAGUCUGUUCAUUAAUCUCCUACAACUGAAUCUCUAUAGUACCCAAUGUAUUUCUCCAUGUGCAAAAAGAAGUGCCAGCAACUACACAGAUUCUUCCUUGCCUAGCCAGUAAGUGAUCCAGAAUGAUUCUAUUUUUUAUUAUUUAUAUUAUUUAUCCUUUAGCAUAACUUUCACAAGAGAAUUUAAGAUCUGUUGUCUAGCCAUAGCCUUUACAGUAGAAUCUGCUAUAGGGCCUAUCAGGAGGGAUAAAUUUCUAAUCAUUGUCUCAUUUACUCCAAAUCAUAGAAAAAGAAACCUCAUAAAUUAUGCCUAUCUAGAAGGGCAAAGUCUCCUGACAAUGUUCUCUUUAACCUAUGAUGUAGGUUAAAAUGAGUGAACCAGUGUUCUCUUUCUGACUGAUGAUGAGGCAACAAAUGUACAAUUAAAAUUUCUCACCUACGUUGACCCUUCAUCUUUCUUCUAAAAGGCAUAAGAUUGUUCAUGUAUAUGGCUGGAUGCAAAAUCAUUCACAAAUAAAACUAUAGCAGCUGAGUGCACACCAAUGACACCUUUUUCACUUUUAUUGUUCACGGGGGAAUAAGAAAAAAAUGGAAAGUUAAGAGUCUGAUGAUGGCAGACAAGUCUUGAUCCAUGAUGUUGUGAAAAAGCUGUCUGUAUCAAGGAUGCUGUCUGCUUCUGGGGAUAAACUUCCCUGGUUAGAUUUACCUUAAGGUUUCCAAGGGGUGAACAGUUCCAAGAAUGUGGAGGGGGCCUUCUGAACUGUGAGAUUAUGAACCCAAGGUUCCAGGUCCUGAAAUUUUGCUGCAAUGAGGAUGGCAAGGGCAUCUGAACUGUGACAUUAUGAACCCAAGGUUCAAGGUCCUGAAGUUUUGCUGCAAUGAGGAUGGCAAGGGCAUCUGAACUGUGACAUUAUGAACCCAAGGUUCAAGGUCCUGAAGUUUUGCUGCAAUGAGGAUGGCAAGGGCAUCUGAACUGUGACAUUAUGAACCCAAGGUUCAAGGUCCUGAAAUUUUGCUGCAAUGUGGAUGGCAAGGGCAUCUGAACUGUGACAUUAUGAACCCAAGGUUCAAGGUCCUGAAGUUUUGCUGCAAUGGGGAUGGCAAGGGCAUCUGAACUGUGACAUUAUGAACCCAAGGUUCAAGGUCCUGAAAUUUUGCUGCAAUGUGGAUGGCAAGGGCAUCUGAACUGUGACAUUAUGAACCCAAGGUUCAAGGUCCUGAAGUUUUGCUGCAAUGUGGAUGGCAAGGGCAUCUGAACUGUGACAUUAUGAACCCAAGGUUCAAGGUCCUGAAGUUUUGCUGCAAUGGGGAUGGCAAGGGCAUCUGAACUGUGACAUUAUGAACCCAAGGUUCAAGGUCCUGAAGUUUUGCUGCAAUGGGGAUGGCAAGGGCAGUCUUUAUCUGAUGUUGUUUUUAGAAGACCCAGUCUCUAAGUUCUAGAUUGUGAAAGGUUUGAUUGUCCUCGGUCAGUGGACCAUAAAAAAGAUUUCUUUACCUGGUGAAAAUACAUCUUGACAUAAUGCAUUAAAGCCUUGCAGCAUUUAGUUAUAUCAGGGUUCAGUAGUGGAAGAUAAAUGACGUUGUAUUAUUAGGGGAAUAGGUCUUCCAGUGACUAUUUUGUAAGGUAUCACCUUAUGGUUUACACUGGAAGUGGAUCUGAUUGCCAUUAAUAUAAAAUACCUUCGACCAAAGCAAUCCAGUCAUUUCAGUUAGCUUUACCAAAUGUUGUCAUAUUUAUAAAACCUUAUUUAACUGCUUUAAAACUUAUCCAGUGAAACAAGUACUUCCAUCACUGGAGAUUUCUCCAGGAAUGUCCCAUGGGGAAAACACAUUUUCUAAUAACCUUUUAGCUACUGUUAUAGAAUUAGCCCUCUUGCAUGGAAAAGCUUUCAUAGAACCAGAAAACAUGCAUUGAAAAUGACAAUUGAAUGAAAUCCCUCUGUAAAUGUUUAAAUGCCCGAUCAUAAACAGAAAUGUACCUGCAGUUUUGAUUGUCCUCUUAGGAAUAAGAAUUUAGCAAACCAAACAUUGGUCAUCAACUAUUUUAGCAACUUAGAAGAGUCACCAAACCAAUAUAUAUAUUUUUAAUUUGGAUCAUUUUAUUUCUUCAAUGAUGAGUCAUGGAAUGCAGAGAUUUUAAUAACAAAAGCUUUAAGGACUCAGGAAGAUGAAGCAGCUGUUCUCCAGGAGCCCACACUUAACAUUGGACUUAUAUUCUCUUAAAUACUGAUUGUUUCUCCAAUUUAGGUGCAUAGCACUGAUAACCAAUAGAUUAUCAUAGGUAAUUUGACUUUCACCAUGGAGUUCAUUUAAAUUGCAUGUCUUAACAAUUUCAGUACUAGCUGAUUUAGCAGGAACAUCUGGCAAAAUAUUUUCUUGGUAUUCAAUUAGUUUUUUUCCUGCCUGGCUUAGUAGUUUUAUAAACCAGCCAGUCUCUUCAUUAGAGUUCCAGGAAUUUUUACCCAAUCCAAAUGAUGUGGUCCUAAAGUUAUUAGAAACUUGUGUUCAAGAGCAUGUGUCAGGGUUCUUCCCAUCCUUUCAUGAAUCUCUUUAAAGACACCAUAUUCUAGGAUUUUAUGUGCUUGUGAAGUUUUAAGAAACUGCAUCAGAAUUAAGCAAUUAACUGUGGAAAUGACUUUAAAUGGUCAUAAAGACAAUUGAAAAGGAAAUUUGGUUAUUUCUGUGGUUUACAAUAACUCAACAUAAUAACCAGAAUUAUGACCGAUAGCAUAUACCCAGACAUAUUAGGAUUUUAGAAAUCCCAUAUAACUUUGGAACAUAUAUUAAUAACAUAUUCUUUAAGAUAUAACUUAAGAAGGUUAAACCAUCCUUUCUUGUUUGACAAUGCUUCCCAUGUAAUUUCACAUGUCAAAUAAUCCUGUUUAUCUCCCUUAUGGAUGCUUCAGGGGACCUUCAUAGCAUCCCAAAGUUAAAAGGUCAAAAAAGACUUAAUUUUGAAGUUGAAAUUUGAUUUUUAGGAAGCCAAUCAAAUAUGUCAAAGUUUUAAAACACAUUACCAAAAUAAGAUCACAAGUCACCGUAAAAUAAUAGUCAUUCAUUUAGCCAAAGUGAUAAUUAAAAGAUUUUUUAAACAAAAACCUGUACUCUUUGAGAGAGGAGACUUAGCCAUACUUCCUGUACAGCCUGUGAACCACGAGCCAAUUAAACCUUUCUUCUGUAUAAAUUACUCAGUCUCAGAUAGUUCUUUAUAGCAAUGGAAGAAUGGACUAAUACAGUGAGCUAAUACCUAAAUGACCUUCAUGAAUUUUGUUGAAAGAAACGGCUUGGAAACUAUCUGAUCAGCAUGAGAUUUGUCACUCAGUCAUCUCAGUCACUUUCCUGGAUCAAUAUUUGUAUUUUGAAUUUGCUGUUAGUGUGCAGAGGCUGCACCUCCAUCCCAAGUGCAUCUGAAGGCAGUUCCCUCUGACCAACGAACACAUGUGGAAGUUGAGAAUCUAGAAAAUGACUCCCUUAAAACUAUUCAUGUCCCUGGAAGGUCUUCCCAUAUCCCCAACAACAUGCAUUCUCAUUUGAAGACCACUGACUAUUCCACAGCAUAAAUCAGCCAACAUGAUUUGUUGAGUGAUCAUGAAGUGCUGUAGAUUUCAGAUAUCACCAGCCCCACCCACUGGGAUUCAAGCUGACUACUCAUUAAAUGUCCUCUUUGAUUCACUUUACCUUUCCCUGUGGAAGAACUUGUUUAGGCCCGUUUACUAAAUCCUGAUGUAAGUCAACACCAAAUUAGAGAAAAUCACACUUUUCAAAAAAAAAAAAAACUUUAGAUUGAUUCUCAAAUGCCAAGUUUGAAAUUUUCCAUAACACAAAAUAAUUUGGAAGUCUGAUUAAAGUGAGUAGGAAUGAUGCAAAAUCAUUAAGUCCAAUUAUUAUUAUUAUUAUUAUUAUUAUUAUUAGAUCAUUUCACUGUAGGACAGUUACUCCAUAGCUAGUGUUUCUUAGGGAAAGCAUCUUUUAACCUCAGAGUACAUCUCACAAAGCAAUGAUAUGCCUUUGAAAAGCAAUGCUAAAUAGACAUUUUACAAAUGGAAUCAUGCUGUCCACACAUUAGGCAAUUUAUUAUUAGAGCAAUCCUAAGAUUUUUUUAAAAUAAAGAGAUGCCCUAUGCUGAAUGAAAAAGCUAAUACUUUAAUAUGCUUUCUUGUCAAAUGUUCAUUUUCAUAUAAAGGGCUUUCUUGGCAGGGGUUGCUGGGGAGCUGGACACAGCUGUCUCAUUUUACUGCUGCUUGCCUUACUGUGUUUUGCCUUUUCUUUCAAUGUACAAAACUGUGCACUCUUUUCUUAGCUCUGGUAGAGGGCUCAGCAAUUAGCCUAUGAAAGGCUAUUACAAAUUUUCAAAUCAUAAAAUGUAUGCUACACUGACCAUGAUGACUGAUGUAAAAUAUACUUUAAGCUGUCUCAGGAUUUUGAGUCUUAUUCAUUGGAACAUAAAUGAGCAGAGCAAUGAUAAAAGAGAUUAUUAUGGUUGAUAAAGUGUCAAUUAAAAGUCUUUAAUAUGCUUCUUCUAGGAGAUCAUUAGCUAUUAAUUCAAUCAUUUGCUAAUGCAAUACAAACCUUUCCUGACUUGUGGCUGUCUUGUGUAGGCUAUGUACUGAUGUGAAGUUGCUUGUACUUGGCCUUCACUACUCCAUGCACAAUAUAUGAUAUUGGAAUUAUCUCUUUGAGCUGAGGGAUGUUUUAUUACCCUGAUUGUGCUCACCACUCUUGUCUUCCCCAGUACAUGAGAAAUCUGAAACAUUUUCUAUGUUAUUAAGUCAGUGUCACUUGUGGAUGGUUGUGACUCCCCAUCCUCACUCCAAUUCUCAUAGAUGGAAACAGAAUUUGUAUUUAUGCAUCAGCCAAUAGCUCUCCUUCAGCAUUUUGCAUAUUUAAAUAAAUGUGGUUCUGAUCAUUUCUUUUUUUGAGAUCAUUGCAGAUGUGUCUGAUGAUGCCACACAUAACAAAGAGAAUACUUGACUGAGAUAAUCUUAUUUCAGAAGGCUGGCUUGUUAAUGGGUAUCUGUAACUACGACCUGAAAAUACAGUCAACAAGAAAGAAAACCUCUGCCUUGCACAAACAUAUAUGUCUGAAUGCGUGAAAUUUAAACUGCCUUUUAAGUGACUGUUAUUUAGUACCAGUUAGCUAGAUGACCCUCCCUGGGGUUGGAGCAUCAUUAGGUAUCAGCCUGAGGAAAUGAAGUGCGAGGUAGAUCCGCUGACAGGAGGUCAUGAGAGAGCUAAAUAAUUUUUAAAAAAUGGAAGUGUCUUCUGGUACCUAAGCUGAGAGACUGAGUGUGGGAGGCUGUAAAGCAACUGGUGGCUAAAGCCAACAUGAGCAAAGCCGAGGAGUCUUUAGUUCAAGAAGAAGGACCAGGAACUUGAAGGUGAUGAUCCCUGGUCUCUCCAUCAAGGGCAUCCUGUAGUCAGCUUGGUCAAAGAAGCUUGGCUGUGUGCUGUGUUUCAGUGUCCCCUCCAGAGUUUGUGUUGAAACAUACUUGCCAUUGUAUCAGAAUUUACAGAAAGUGGGACCUUUAAGAGAUGAUUAGGUCAUGAAGGCUCAUGAAGGUAAUGAAUGCAUUAAUACUGUUAUUAUGAGAGUGGAAUCCCAAUAAAAGGAAAAGUUCAGCCCAAUUUCCUCUCUCUGUCUCAUGCAUUCACUUCUGCUUCUACCCUUGCCACAUGAGAUGACGUUUGCCACAUGCUGGCACAAUGCUUUUGGACUUCCCUGCCUCCAGAACUGUAAGAAAUAAAUCUCUUUUCUGUAUAAAUUACCCAGUCUGUGGUAUUCUGUUAUAGCAGCAGAAAAUAGGCUAAGCACUGUUCAAUGAUUAAUCUCCCUUGCUAUUUGUUUAUUCCAGUAAUUGGCAUAAAUUGAGACUAGCAGAGGGCAUGUCCAUUUUGUGUUGCUAUAAAGAAACACCUGAAGCUGGGUAAUUUAUAAAGAAAAGGGGUUUAUUUAAUUUAAGUUCUGCAGGCACCAAACCUGAGGGACUGCCUGGCUUUAUAAGAACUCUCAAGGGAAGUAAUUACACUAAGAACCAAUCCAGUGUCUCAAGAACAAGAAUUGCACCAAGCCAUUCAUGAGGGGUCCACCUCCAUGACCCAGAAACCUUCCACUAGGCCCAAACUGUCAACACCACCACAGUGCUGAUCAAAUUUCAACAUGAGAUUUGGUGGGGAUGAACAAACCGUAGCCACACCGUAGCAGUGGGAAGCUGAGGUGAGAAGGUGCGGGGUGUGAGGAGUCCUACACAGACCUACGGCUUAGUCACUGACUGCAAGCUGGUGGGGUGAGAGGCCUAGUCCCUGGGGUUCGGAUGGUGCUGUCACCGUGAGUGCAGGUAACAUGUAGCUCACCAUGCUGUUUGGUUAUAAAGCUAUAAAACUUAUUUCCUAUUUAAUGUUUUUCCUGGCCAGCUUCUUUCAUGCAAAAAAUAAUGUCCCAACAUGACAGUGGGCAUUGCCUUUUGCAUUUUCUGCAGGGCAGCCUGUGAAGGUGGCAGCAAUGGUUUGUUACUUUCCCAUCUCUCCUUUCCUGUGUUUUUUGCACUUUUGCUGCUUCUCCAAUGGGGUCACAGUGAGUUCAGGAUGCCAGUCCACCCACACUGAAUAACAUUAUGCCCCUGGCCCUUUCCUCCCAUCUCUAUUAACCUGGUGGACAUGUGGCCCUCCCAUUACUUCUUUCCUUGGCUGUUGUAGUGGCAGUUUAUGAUACACUGAAGUAGACAAUACACUAAAAAGGUAAUAUAUCCCUUCCAGAAAAAAAUCUUAUAUGGAAGCAGGAUUCCUACAGAUAAAGAGUUUUAAAUCCACAGGAAAAAUUUAAUGGGGGAUGUUUGGUAGUGUAAUUGGGUCAAAGCCUCAUAUAUUAUAAUUUUUGGUGACUGUUCUGCCUAUAAAAUAUGUAACCUACUUAGGGAUAGGUAUUGGUCAGGCACAAAUGUUUUUCUUUGUUUGGUUAUGAAAACUCUGAAAAAUACUAAAGAAUGUAUAUGAUACAUAUCACGUGAUUACAUAGUGCAUUUAAGGACAAACCAGCUGAGUAAACAGAUGUUACUAUCAAUGUGUUAGGAAUCUGCAAACAACCCCCCCCGCCCCGGCAUCAGAGCCCUCUGUGGGCUCCUUUCUAGUCACAUCCCCUGCCUCUUCCUAGAAGUAACCAUAACCAGAUUUGUGUUUAUAGUUCCACUGUUUUCGUUACAGUUUUACAACAUAUGUGUAUAUCUCUAAAUGAUGAGUUGCAGUUGUCGAGUAUUACAUGUUUUAGAACACAUUACAAGUAGUUUCUUUCACUGUGUGUAUUCCUUCAUGACUUUAUUCCUUCAAUGUUAUGCUUUGGAGAUUUAUUCUUGUUGACAUGAAUAGCUGUACAUUAUUUGUUUUUCCUGAUACAUACUAUUACAUAGUGUGAAUACUUCUGAAUUAUUUGCCCAUUCUUUUGUUGACAGAUCUUUGGGUACUUCCAGAUUUCUACUAUUACAAACCACAGUGCUUCAAAUAUUCUUACACCAUAUCUCAAAGUAUAUAUAUGCAUGAUUUCUCUCAUUGAAACCUAGGACUGGGAGUAUAAGGUUAUAGAAAAUGUACCACAUAAAGUUGAUUAGAUUACUGCUAUAUUGUUUUCCUAACUAGUUGAAGGAAAUGAUAUUUCUACCUGCAGUACAUAAGGGUGUGUGUGUAUGCACACACAUAUAUAAAAUGAUAUACAUUUGUCAUAUGUAUCAUAGCUAACAUUUGCUCCCAAUCUGAGGCCUGCAUUUUUGCUUUUGUCAAAGUGUUUUUUGUUUGCUUAUUUGUUUUUUCAUAAAGAUAAGUUAUUAAUGCUA
Long non-coding RNA from Pan troglodytes (chimpanzee), 28394 nucleotides. RefSeq lists it as uncharacterized. The record is from RefSeq and is a predicted model, not a curated record. Lineage: Eukaryota; Metazoa; Chordata; Mammalia; Primates; Hominidae. The transcript is spliced from 7 exons.